RNAcentral lists this ribosomal RNA (433 nucleotides) under uncultured bacterium. RNAcentral's name for it is "bacterial SSU rRNA". It matches the Rfam family "Bacterial small subunit ribosomal RNA", at positions 71 to 501 of the family's 1533-position model. The record is from RNAcentral.
GCACGGACUUCGGUCUGGUGGCGAGUGGCGAACGGGUGAGUAAUAUAUCGGAACGUAUCCAUAAUGGGGGAUAACUAAUCGAAAGGUUGGCUAAUACCGCAUACGCCCUACGGGGGAAAGCUAGGGAUCUUCGGACCUGGCGUUAAUGGAGCGGCCGAUAUCUGAUUAGCUAGUUGGUGGGGUAAAGGCCCACCAAGGCGACGAUCAGUAGCUGGUCUGAGAGGGCGACCAGCCACACUGGAACUGAGACACGGUCCAGACUCCUACGGGAGGCAGCAGUGGGGAAUUUUGGACAAUGGGCGCAAGCCUGAUCCAGCCAUUCCGCGUGAGUGAAGAAGGCCUUCGGGUUGUAAAGCUCUUUCGCAAGGGAAGAAAACUUAUCCUCUAACAUAGGAUGAGGUUGACGGUACCUUGAUAAGAAGCACCGGCUAAC